AGUGAACGCUGGCGGUAGGCCUAACACGUGCAAGUCGAACGGCAGCACAGUAAGAGCUUGCUCUUACGGGUGGCGAGUGGCGGACGGGUGAGGAAUACAUCGGAAUCUACUUUUUCGUGGGGGAUAACGUAGGGAAACUUACGCUAAUACCGCAUACGACCUACGGGUGAAAGCAGGGGAUCUUCGGACCUUGCGCGAUUGAAUGAGCCGAUGUCGGAUUAGCUAGUUGGCGGGGUAAAGGCCCACCAAGGCGACGAUCCGUAGCUGGUCUGAGAGGAUGAUCAGCCACACUGGAACUGAGACACGGUCCAGGCUCCUACGGGAGGCAGCAGUGGGGAAUAUUGGACAAUGGGCGCAAGCCUGAUCCAGCCAUACCGCGUGGGUGAAGAAGGCCUUCGGGUUGUAAAGCCCUUUUGUUGGGAAAGAAAAGCAGCAGGUUAAUACCCCGCUGUUCUGACGGUACCCAAAGAAUAAGCACCGGCUAACCUCGUG
RNAcentral lists this ribosomal RNA (492 nucleotides) under uncultured bacterium. Its description in RNAcentral is "partial 16S ribosomal RNA". It matches the Rfam family "Bacterial small subunit ribosomal RNA", at positions 29 to 507 of the family's 1533-position model. The record is from RNAcentral.